CGACCCCACAGGGAAAUCGAACCCUGAUUUCCUGGUUGACAACCAGAUGUAAUGACCUUUAUACCAUGGAGCC
This 73-nucleotide transfer RNA is filed under the name Terrestrivirus sp. Its description in RNAcentral is "tRNA-Asp". Lineage: Varidnaviria; Bamfordvirae; Nucleocytoviricota; Megaviricetes; Imitervirales; Mimiviridae. The record is from RNAcentral.